GAGACCUUGGCUCAAUUGGUAGAGCAUAUGUCUUUUAAUCAUUAGGUUACAGGUUCGAAUCCUGUAGGUCUUA
This 73-nucleotide transfer RNA is filed under the name Verpa bohemica. RNAcentral's name for it is "tRNA-Lys". It matches the Rfam family "tRNA". From Rfam's summary of the family: Transfer RNA (tRNA) molecules are approximately 80 nucleotides in length. Their secondary structure includes four short double-helical elements and three loops (D, anti-codon, and T loops). Further hydrogen bonds mediate the characteristic L-shaped molecular structure. tRNAs have two regions of fundamental functional importance: the anti-codon, which is responsible for specific mRNA codon recognition, and the 3' end, to which the tRNAs corresponding amino acid is attached (by aminoacyl-tRNA synthetases). tRNAs cope with the degeneracy of the genetic code in two manners: having more than one tRNA (with a specific anti-codon) for a particular amino acid; and 'wobble' base-pairing, i.e. permitting non-standard base-pairing at the 3rd anti-codon position. Lineage: Eukaryota; Fungi; Ascomycota; Pezizomycetes; Pezizales; Morchellaceae. RNAcentral also lists the same sequence under 4 other names. The record is from RNAcentral.